CGAGCUGAUAUUGCUGUGAUUGCUACUUGACAGUCUGUCAUUCGAUCGUGUACUAUGACCGUGUGGUGUGUAAGCGUCCAGAUGGCACGGCAAUGAGACAGUCAUAAUCAUCAGCCUAUAUUUAUGUGUACUGCAGGACGAAAGCCUCUCCCUGCGAUCUCCAAUCACCCCUGUCUUGAGCUAGCUAAUUCCAACAUGGGCGUGCAAAUUUCCUAACUAAUGAAGUAGUGCCGUGUGACUUUUAUGCUGUGAUCAUGUUGAGCUAGUGCCUACUGGACAAGCGUCGCAGUUUACCGGUGCGCAUUGUAUUGUCGUGCUCGUUUUCUGGUUUCCGAAACAACCAAGGAUGAAGUUCGCUGUGGCCAAAGGAGAACGCAUUGCAUGACGGCUGUCAUGGCAAUCGUGUUCGCGGAACCAAAGCGAGCUGUUGUGUGGUACACCGAAAGGAAUCAGGAGAAGGAACUGGAUUAGUGCAACUUCCGGAUCAGGGUACCGCAGCAAGCAGGGAUUCAAGGGAUUGCCUGGCUACGCAAGGUCCUGGCCUGAAAACCAGCGCAUCAAAAGAAAAACAAAGUGGGAAAAUUACAGCGCCGAUACUCGAGGGCCUCCGACUUCCCGUGCGCAUCCUGGCGCAGCCGACGGCGCUGUGAUAAAUAUAUCAUGAAGACAAUGUUAUGACGUUUCUGAAAUGAUGAAGAUAGUAUAAGACGACAGCGGCGGCAUGACGAGAAUGUGGU
Molecule: long non-coding RNA, 737 nt
Organism: Dermacentor silvarum
Lineage: Eukaryota; Metazoa; Arthropoda; Arachnida; Ixodida; Ixodidae
Exons: 3
Source: RefSeq, a predicted model, not a curated record